AUGUUAGCUUUGGCAGCACUUAUACUAAAAUUGGGAAGAUACAGAGAAGAUUUGCAAGGCCACUCUGCAAGGAUGACAUGCAAUUCAUGAAGCGUUCCUUAUUAAA
This is a small nuclear RNA of Pteronotus mesoamericanus, 106 nucleotides long. NCBI's taxonomy places the organism in Eukaryota, Metazoa, Chordata, Mammalia, Chiroptera, Mormoopidae. The record is from RefSeq and is a predicted model, not a curated record.